This 265-nucleotide ribosomal RNA is filed under the name uncultured bacterium. Its description in RNAcentral is "partial 16S ribosomal RNA". It matches the Rfam family "Bacterial small subunit ribosomal RNA", at positions 57 to 305 of the family's 1533-position model. The record is from RNAcentral.
GCAAGUCGAGCGAGAAGGUUAUGAUGGAUUCUUCUUAUGAAAGAUUCACUGGAAAGCGGCGGACGGGUGAGUAACGCGUGAGUAACCUGCCCCAUACACAGGGAUAGCCAUUGGAAACGAGGAUUAAUACCUGAUAACACAUUCGAAUCACAUGUUUAGAAUGUGAAAGAUUGAUCGGUAUGGGAUGGACUCGCGUCUGAUUAGCUAGUUGGUAAGGUAACGGCUUACCAAGGCGACGAUCAGUAGCCGACCUGAGAGGGUGAUC